AACCCUUGUGGAGGAGGACGCCGAAGGUGGGGCUAAUGACUGGGGUGAAGUCGUAACAAGGUAGCCGUACCGGAAGGUGCGGCUGGAUCACCUCCUAACAGGGAGACAACAAAAUGUAAAUAUUAAUUUUGUCACCUUAGGUCGAUCGGUAUCUCAGAUUCUUAUUAUUUAAGAAUUUCAGUUUCUAAGUUUUUUCUAGGUCACACCCAUCACUUUUUCCUGGGCCAUUAGCUCAGGUGGUUAGAGCGCACCCCUGAUAAGGGUGAGGUCCCUGGUUCAAGUCCAGGAUGGCCCAUAUCUCUAUGUUGGGGGUAUAGCUCAGUUGGUAGAGCGCCUGCUUUGCAAGCAGGAUGUCAGCGGUUCGAGUCCGCUUACCUCCACUGAAUACCACCUCUUACAUAUAGUUGAAGUGGGAAAUUGUUUUGAGUCGUGUCCUAAUUUGCUCUGAGCGAAUCUAGCUUCCUAUUUUAUCCAAGAAAUAAGAUGCUGGACUCAUUGAAUUUUUUUUCAUUGUUUUCAGAGAACCUUGACAACUGCAUAGAUUAUUUUUAAAGACAAUAAGCAUCUUUAAUGAUGCAGAUUUAUUAUUUGUGCGAAUGCAUUAAAUAACAAUUCUAUUAAGCUGAUGCUUCAAUUAUUGAAGUUAUUGGUCAAGCUACAAAGGGCUCACGGAGGAUACCUAGGCAC
Molecule: unclassified non-coding RNA, 687 nt
Filed under: uncultured Prochlorococcus sp.
Lineage: Bacteria; Bacillati; Cyanobacteriota; Cyanophyceae; Synechococcales; Prochlorococcaceae
Description: partial may contain 16S ribosomal RNA, 16S-23S ribosomal RNA intergenic spacer, and 23S ribosomal RNA
Rfam family: Bacterial small subunit ribosomal RNA (bases 1-98)
Source: RNAcentral